AAAGAGGCACCGGUUGUAUCGGAAGUUUUGGAGGUUGCUCCAGGACGUGGGUCUGUGGGGAGAUGAGGAGUACCUGAGGAGGAAGGAGAGGCGGACUGUCAGGCAUGACAAAAGGGACAUAAUGCCCAAAUGUGUGAUUGUAGAAAUAAGAAGGCGAUACCCUAGUGUCGAUGGGACCUACAGGGACUAUUUGUCGACAUUCGAUGCAGAGAAUAUGGAACUUUAGAAUGUUGUGUUUUGUAAUUAAUUAUAAUACCUAUUCUCUGUCGUCGCUAUCUGAAUCUGACUCCAUAUCAUCA
Long non-coding RNA from Halichondria panicea, 299 nucleotides. RefSeq lists it as uncharacterized. The record is from RefSeq and is a predicted model, not a curated record. The transcript is spliced from 2 exons. NCBI's taxonomy places the organism in Eukaryota, Metazoa, Porifera, Demospongiae, Suberitida, Halichondriidae.